RNAcentral lists this ribosomal RNA (503 nucleotides) under uncultured bacterium. Its description in RNAcentral is "bacterial SSU rRNA". It matches the Rfam family "Bacterial small subunit ribosomal RNA", at positions 24 to 518 of the family's 1533-position model. The record is from RNAcentral.
UCAGGAUGAACGCUGGCGGCAGGCUUAAUACAUGCAAGUCGAACGGUAACGACCGGUAGCAAUACUGGGGCGACGAGUGGCGCACGGGUGCGUAACGCGUAUGCAACCUGCCUUCAACCGGGACAUAACGUCGAGAAAUUGGCGCUAAUAUCCCAUGUGUAUGUGAUGCGGCAUCGUAUUACAUAUAAAGAUUUAUUGGUUGAGGAUGGGCAUGCGUAACAUUAGCUAGUUGGCGGGGUAACGGCCCACCAAGGCGACGAUGUUUAGGGGUUCUGAGAGGAUUCACCCCCACACUGGAACUGAGACACGGUCCAGACUCCUACGGGAGGCAGCAGUAGGGAAUAUUGGGCAAUGGAGGCAACUCUGACCCAGCCAUGCCGCGUGAAGGAAAAGACGGCCCUAUGGGUUGUAAACCUCUUUUGCCGCAGAGUAACCGCGGGGACGUGUCCCUGCCUGAGAGUAUGCGGCGAAUAAGUAUCGGCUAACUCCGUGCCAGCAGCUGC